RNAcentral lists this ribosomal RNA (301 nucleotides) under uncultured bacterium. RNAcentral's name for it is "partial 16S ribosomal RNA". It matches the Rfam family "Bacterial small subunit ribosomal RNA", at positions 509 to 809 of the family's 1533-position model. The record is from RNAcentral.
CAGCAGCCACGGUAAUACGGAGGAUCCAAGCGUUAUCCGGAUUUAUUGGGUUUAAAGGGUGCGUAGGCGGCUUAUUAAGUCAGGGGUGAAAGACGGUGGCUCAACCAUCGCAGUGCCUUUGAUACUGAUGAGCUUGAAUAUACUAGAGGUAGGCGGAAUGUGACAAGUAGCGGUGAAAUGCAUAGAUAUGUCACAGAACUCCGAUUGCGAAGGCAGCUUACUAUGGUGUUAUUGACGCUGAGGCACGAAAGCGUGGGGAUCAAACAGGAUUAGAUACCCGCGUAGUCCCUGUCUCUUAUAA